UCAGGAGGAACAACGCCGGCGAAGACGACUUCCCGGACGAAUACUCACGAGGAGGCGCGAAGGCGUGGGUAGCGAACAGGAGGAGAUACCACGGUAGUACACGCAGCAAUCGCUGAACACUAGGCGUAGCGAGUAUCGACCCCGGAUGUGCCGCAGCCAACGCAUUAAGUGUUCCACCUGGGAAGUACGCCCGCAAGGUUAAACUCAAAGGAAUUGACGCGGGGCCCGCACAACCGGUGGAGCAUCUGGUUUAAUUCGACGCUACGCGAAGAACCUCACAUGGACAGGACAUCCCGGGAAUUCCAGCGGAAACACGGAAGUGCCAUGCGGGGAACCCGGUGACAGGUGCUGCAUGGAUGUCGUCAGCUCGUGUCGUGAGAUGUUGGGUUAAGUCCCGCAACGAGCAGCAACCCCUAUCAUUACUUGCCAGCAUUUGGUUGGGGACUCUAAAGAUACUGCCCCGGUCAACGGCGAGGAAGAUGGGGAGGACGUCAAGUCCUCAUGGCCUUUAUGUCCACGGGCUACACACAGUGCUACAAUGGGCUGUACAAAGGGUCGC
RNAcentral lists this ribosomal RNA (559 nucleotides) under uncultured organism. RNAcentral describes it as "bacterial SSU rRNA". It matches the Rfam family "Bacterial small subunit ribosomal RNA", at positions 697 to 1250 of the family's 1533-position model. The record is from RNAcentral.